GCUGGCAUGGUGGUGCAUGCCUGUAGUCCCAGCUACUCAGGAGGCUGAGGCAGGAGGAUCACUUGAGCCCAGGAGGUCAGGGCUGCAGUGAACUAUGAUGGCACCACUGCACUCUAGCCUGGGCAACAGAGUGAGACCCUAUCUCAA
This 147-nucleotide signal recognition particle RNA is filed under the name Mandrillus leucophaeus (drill). RNAcentral describes it as "Metazoan signal recognition particle RNA". It matches the Rfam family "Metazoan signal recognition particle RNA". Rfam says of the family: The signal recognition particle (SRP) is a universally conserved ribonucleoprotein. It is involved in the co-translational targeting of proteins to membranes. The eukaryotic SRP consists of a 300-nucleotide 7S RNA and six proteins: SRPs 72, 68, 54, 19, 14, and 9. The record is from Rfam by way of RNAcentral. Lineage: Eukaryota; Metazoa; Chordata; Mammalia; Primates; Cercopithecidae. RNAcentral also lists the same sequence under 3 other names.